This 441-nucleotide ribosomal RNA is filed under the name uncultured bacterium. RNAcentral's name for it is "partial 16S ribosomal RNA". It matches the Rfam family "Bacterial small subunit ribosomal RNA", at positions 338 to 795 of the family's 1533-position model. The record is from RNAcentral.
CCUACGGGCGGCAGCAGUGGGGAAUAUUGCGCAAUGGGGGCAACCCUGACGCAGCAACGCCGCGUGAUUGAAGAAGGCCUUCGGGUUGUUAAGAUCUUUAAUCGGGGACGAAUUUUGACGGUACCCGGAGAAUAAGCUCCUGCUAACUACGUGCCAGCAGCCGAGGUCCUACGUAGGGAGCAAGCGUUAUCCGGAUUUACUGGGUGUAAAGGGCGUGUAGGGGGGUAUGCAAACCAGAUGUGAAAUUUGGGGGCUUAACCCCCAAACUGCUUUUGGAACUGCGUGUCUUGAGUGAUGGAGAGGCAGGCGGAAUUCGCAGUGUAGCGGUGAAAUGCGUAGAUAUUGGGAAGAACACCAGUGGCGAAGGCAGCCUGCUGGACAUUAACUGACGCUGAGGCGCGAAAGCGUGGGGAGCAAACAGGAUUAGAUACCCCUGUAGUC